UCCGGGAGCUGCUCUGUGUCUAAUGACUGCUUGGAUGAGCCUCUUGCUCACUCGGAAAGCCGUGUAAGAUAUACAUCUGACUUUCACAAGGGGCUGGAGGAGGAAGGGAGCGAUGUGAUCAAAACCCAGCCUAUUCCAGCACAAUAUUCGAAUGCAAGAUGCUCAGCCUUGAACAGCAGAGAACAGCAUCACAUUAUUUUACUCUGAUAAGUAGUUUGAAAGGUGACCUGUGAAUGGGAAAAGGAGCAGGCUGUGCUCGUCUUUGGCAGUGCAAAGGCGGUCUUUGCGGGGUGCAUUCUGCAGGGGGGAGUUUUGUGCACGUGUCUUUUACAUAAAUAAUGUAGGUGCUGUCGGUCCGGUGUUGCGAGACGGCCGCGUGAUUGACUGAAGAACCCAGAGUAGGAGCAUGACAUUAGAGAUGCCCAGGAAAGGAAACAUGAUUAACUGAGACCGAGGAAUGAAUGUUGUGUUUUUUUAUUGACUUCUUGGAGCUCUCUGUUCCCAACAGCUAUUUAACUCAGAAGCCAUGCUCAGUAAUUAAAAAUUCAAGUUUCCCUCCCCUUUGAUUAAGGGCUGAGAAAACUCCCGGUCCCCCUGUCUAGUACCUCCAAGGAGGCAUUUAGCAGUCCAGAGAAGGCAAGGCAUAACAGGCUUCAUAUUUAUAAGGCAAAAAUCCUUUUAGACCAUCUUUCUACAUCUUCCAGAAGCCAGAUAAGACAUAAGCCCCUAUUUUGCCUAUUCAGGUCAUUUGACAAUAAGCUCUUAUAAAACCAAGCAGUGCGGCUGCCUGCUGCAAUGGAGCAUACCCACCGCAGCACAUACCCCCACGUCAGCAGCUUGGGAGUGGAAACCAAAGUGAUCUGCGUGGGUUUUGGGGAGGGUGGGGGAUGGCUGGGGGACAGGGGCCCUGACAGGGAUCUCUGCUAUGGUCAGUGCCUCUGGACUUCGUGCUCUGGCUUUCUGCUUCUGGCCCUGCUUGGCUCCGUCUCUGGACUCUGGCUUUUGGGACCUCCACUCAGCUUUGAUUGCUUGGUCCCGUACUCCAGGAUCCUGACUUGGCCUUGGACUCUGCCUCAGCAACUUGGACGUGAGUUUCUGCCCCCACCCAUGUGCUCAGGGCCCGCCAGCCCCUGGUGUCUUACCCACUAGGGAAGACUGCCUGCAACCCAGUCUACACAGCAAGUAGAGCACUGAAUGGGCUGGAUGUGUAUGAAUGAAUUAAAGACUGAUAAAAAUCUUUAUAAUA
Gavialis gangeticus (Gharial) is the source of this 1246-nucleotide long non-coding RNA. RefSeq lists it as uncharacterized. The transcript is spliced from 2 exons. NCBI's taxonomy places the organism in Eukaryota, Metazoa, Chordata, Crocodylia, Gavialidae. The record is from RefSeq and is a predicted model, not a curated record.